Molecule: ribosomal RNA, 119 nt
Organism: Arabidopsis thaliana (thale cress)
Lineage: Eukaryota; Viridiplantae; Streptophyta; Magnoliopsida; Brassicales; Brassicaceae
Source: Rfam
AGAUGCGAUCAUACCAGCACUAAUGCAUCAGAUCCCAUCGGAACUUCGUAGUUAAGCGUGCUUGGGCGAGAGUAGUACUAGGAUGGGUGACCUCCAGGAAAGUCCUCGUGUUUAAUCAC